GUGCCAGCCGCCGCGGUAAGACAGAGGUGGCAAGCGUUGUUCGGAAUUACUGGGCUUAAAGGGCGCGUAGGUGGUGAUAUAAGUCCGGGGUGGAAGGCUGAGGCUUAACCUUGGAAUUGCCCUGGAAACUGUAUCACUUGAGUCAGCGAGGGGAUGGCGGAAUUCCUGGUGUAGCGGUGAAAUGCGUAGAUAUCAGGAGGAAGGCCGGUGGCGAAGGCGGCCAUCUGGCGCUGAACUGACACUGAGGCGCGAAAGCGUGGGGAGCAAACAGGAUUAGAAACCCCUGUAGUCC
This 292-nucleotide ribosomal RNA is filed under the name uncultured bacterium. RNAcentral's name for it is "partial 16S ribosomal RNA". It matches the Rfam family "Bacterial small subunit ribosomal RNA", at positions 505 to 796 of the family's 1533-position model. The record is from RNAcentral.